CCAAGUGUAAGCUGCAUUUAUCGACACUCGUAAAUCUCGAGGCAACAGAAUAAUGGUUCAGAUUUAAGUAUCGUAGACUAACGUUGUAUUGGAGAAGGAAUUGAUGGACAUUAAGAAACAAGAUAUUAUAUAGUUAUCGAAUAAAUCUCGACAUCCUAAUCGUCUUUGAAAUGAUUCGAAGAACAGGUGUCUCGACAACUCUAUUGCAAUCAUGGUACUAUCGACGGCGGACCUAAAAAUAAAGUCACGAGUGUCGAGCAUCUCAACUGACGCAACUCGCAGAAGCUUUUCUCAGCGAUGGAUUGUCCAUCCGAACUUCUAUAUGUCAUCAAAUAUACGUGCCUGAACGCGUUUCCGAUGGAACGUGUCGCGUAAAACGCGCACUUGGAGAAGCUCCAGGUGCGGAGGAGGAAGUACGUGUAAAUUGUGGUGAAGUAAAAAGAGAAGUUGGAUAGAUCUAGAGGCAAAACCACGUGCGUUGCUAUUUUUCACAGAAAUGAGACAGAAGCUGACUAUACGUUUUUAGAUUUAUCUAUACUAUAUAUACGCAUAUAUUAUACAUCACAUACUAUCGAAUGAAUGAAAUAUUGUCAUAUAUCUUUUUCAGUUUAGACAAUCGAAUUAGCAGGAAAUUAAAAUUACAGAGUGCUCGUAUUUCAGAAGAUACGGAUAAACACUAUCCCUAAUGGUUAUCCAGACCAGAAGGAAAGGGAAAAAGUUCCUCGGAAGUUGAGAAAGGGGAUGUUUUUUUGUUCGAUAAGGAAAACAGCGUCAUUAAGUGCAAUCCUAUUCCGUUUCGAUCGUUCGGUAAAAAAAUAAAUGUUUCGGCGAGUGUGUCAAGUAUCGUCUCGAAAAGUAUCCGGAAACGCCUGGUUCUUCUUAUAAAUCAGCGUCGGUACACUCCCUCUUUCCACGACCAUGUCAUUUAGCGAGAAGUUUUCUGCUGGAAAAAAAAGGGAAAAGCACGCGAUCGCUAUUUAAAAGGCUCGUAGGUGGGUGGCUUUUUAACCGAAGUAUAUACCGACGUAGGGAGAGGGCUUCGACUUCGCUCUUCGGCCUCAGUAUGGGGUUGCCGUGCUAUUUUCAGGCCGGUGGCUCGAUGCAGCUGUCGUGUUCUUCGGGUAAACCACCUCUCUUCUAUUCCACGGUCACUCGCGGGACAAGGUAGAACGUACAGAUUGGAAUUCUAAAUUCACGAUUCGAGAAUUCGUAAAGGAUGACGCAUCUUCGCUAAUUCUGACCAAAAUUAGACGAUAGCGAUAAAAGAAACGUAGUAUUACCGGAAGUUCGUUUUAUCGUUUUACCCAUUCUCGAAAUUGAUAUCCUUGUCAUGUUAUUUUCGUUUGUCUAACCAUUUUCCUUUGUUAUUUUCUUUUCUCGAUGUUUCUAAAACCUUCCGUUCUUUAAGAUUAAAGUUGUUCUUUCUAUUGUAGAAUCGAAACGAUAAUUAAUAAAACGCACUAAGGCUGAAUGUAUUAACAAAAAAAAUAUUUUAUUCGUCAAUGUAAGAACUACGCGAAGUUAUACUUUUGCACGGAAUAGUAAAAGGCAUCGGGAGAUAGAAAGAUAGAAACUAUGAGAACUAUUUAAUUGAUUGCCUCCAGCAAAUGUACGGGGAGAAGUGCGUGCUGAAGAAUAGAAGACGUGGAUGAAGAAGAUGACAAGAUUCGAAGAUCUUGGCAACGAGCCAGACGAGAUUUUCAGUCGUCUACGUGUACUUCCAACUUUCAUCUGUCUCCUCUUCUAGCCACCGUACACGUCCUCUAGGACCUAGGGUGCAAUGACACCGGGUUUUAGAUGACAAUUUUCUAUUUUCAGUACAUGAGUCAUUGUAUGCACAUAUCUGUUCUAUGUAAAGUUGUUGGUUUUCUAUGAAUUCUUAAAAUUCCAGAAAAGUGGCUUUACAAUAUAAGAAUCUAAAUUAUUAA
This is a long non-coding RNA of Bombus impatiens (common eastern bumble bee), 1928 nucleotides long. RefSeq lists it as uncharacterized. The record is from RefSeq and is a predicted model, not a curated record. Lineage: Eukaryota; Metazoa; Arthropoda; Insecta; Hymenoptera; Apidae. The transcript has 3 exons.